Molecule: non-coding RNA, 405 nt
Organism: Pteronotus mesoamericanus
Lineage: Eukaryota; Metazoa; Chordata; Mammalia; Chiroptera; Mormoopidae
Source: the annotation of a RefSeq genome assembly
AUGGAGAAGGGGCCCCGAGCUUCGCUGGCGAUCUUAUGGCUUCAGCUGAGCUGGGUGUGCAGUGAUGAUAAGGUGAUACAGAGUCCCCCAUCUCUGCUUGUCCAUGAGGGAGACAAUGCAACUCUCAACUGCCGUUACGAGGUGUCUGGGUUUCAAAACCUACAGUGGUAUAAACAGGAAGAGAAUUCUCCAAUAUUUCUGUUUAGGCUCUUUGCAAGUGGGAUUGACUAUGGAAGAAUGAGAGGCACGUUAGAUAAGAAUGAACGUCUCAGCACCCUGCAUAUCACAGCCACCCAGCCCGGGGACACAGCCACCUACCUCUGCGCAGUGGAGGCACAGUGCUCUCUUGUCUCCUGCAGCAUGUACAUAAAAGCUACAGCUGAGGAUCCUGCAACUCUUAGAUGA